Oncorhynchus keta (chum salmon) is the source of this 1170-nucleotide long non-coding RNA. RefSeq lists it as uncharacterized. The record is from RefSeq and is a predicted model, not a curated record. The transcript has 3 exons. NCBI's taxonomy places the organism in Eukaryota, Metazoa, Chordata, Actinopteri, Salmoniformes, Salmonidae.
UAGCUAGCCCUUUAGCUUCUCACAUCUCCAGUAUGGCUAAACACAGCAAGCUAGCUAGCCUUUUAGCUUCCCAGAUCUAUGAGAAAUAGUCAGAUUAAUAAUUAAAUAUGCCCUGUCAAAUAUUCUAAUACUUGCCCGUGUAAACUACAACAUUAUUCCAGUUUAAACACACCAGCUAGCAAUAGAAGGCAUGCACGCCCACACCAGCUAGCAAUAGAAGGCAUGCACGCCCACACCAGCUAGCAAUAGAAGGUAUGCACUCCCACACCAGCUAGCAAUAGAAGGCAUGCACGCCCACACCAGCUAGCAAUAGAAGGCAUGCACGCCCACACCAGCUAGCAAUAGAAGGCAUGCACUCCCACACCAGCUAGCAAUAGAAGGCAUGCACUCCCACACCAGCUAGCAAUAGAAGGCAUGCACGCCCACACCAGCUAGCAAUAGAAGGCAUGCACGCCCACACCAGCUAGCAAUAGAAGGCAUGCACGCCCACACCAGCUAGCAAUAGAAGGUAUGCACGCCCACAUCAGCUAGCAAUAGAAGGUAUGCACGCCCACACCAGCUAGCAAUAGAAGGCAUGCACGCCCACACCAGCUAGCAAUAGAAGGUAUGCACGCCCACAUCAGCUAGCAAUAGAAGGCAUGCACGCCCACACCAGCUAGCAAUAGAAGGCAUGCACGCCCACACCAGCUAGCAAUAGAAGGCAUGCACGCCCACACCAGCUAGCAAUAGAAGGCAUGCACGCCCACACCAGCUAGCAAUAGAAGGUAUGCACGCCCACAUCAGCUAGCAAUAGAAGGUAUGCACGCCCACAUCAGCAAGCAAUAGAAGGUAUGCACGCCCACAUCAGCUAGCAAUAGAAGGCAUGCACUCCACAUCAGCUAGCAAUAGAAGGCAUGCACGCCCACAUCAGCUAGCAAUAGAAGGCAUGCACGCCCACAUCAGCUAGCAAUAGAAGGCAUGCACGCCAACAUCAGCUAGCAAUAGAAGGUAUGCACGCCCACAUCCGGCUGCCGGGGGGGGAACGACGCGGUGCGUUCCGGCUGCCGGGGAGCCGCUACUUUUGUGAGGAAAAACACAGUGCUGCUCUGUAGGGUGAUUCUUCAUAGGGAAUAAAAUCUGACUUUACAGUUUGAUACGUCGGCCGGGAUUAGAUGAACCGAAGGUUUGACA